Molecule: ribosomal RNA, 889 nt
Filed under: uncultured bacterium
Lineage: Bacteria
Description: bacterial SSU rRNA
Rfam family: Bacterial small subunit ribosomal RNA
Source: RNAcentral
AGAGUUUGAUCAUGGCUCAGGAUGAACGCUGGCGGCGUGCCUAAUACAUGCAAGUCGAACGGGGAGUUCGCAAGGGCUUCCAGUGGCGAACGGGUGAGUAACGCGUGGGCGACCUGCCCCAAAGCGGGGGAUAACAGCUCGAAAGGGCUGCUAAUACCCCAUGAGGUCCCGCUGGUUAGAGGCGGCGGGACGAAAGGCGCAAGCCGCUUUGGGAGGGGCCUGCGUCCCAUCAGCUAGUUGGUCGGGUAACGGCUGACCAAGGCGAUGACGGGUAGGGGACCUGAGAGGGUGAUCCCCCACACUGGCACUGAAACACGGGCCAGACACCUACGGGUGGCAGCAGUAGGGAAUAUUGCACAAUGGGCGCAAGCCUGAUGCAGCAACGCCGCGUGCGCGACGAAGGCCUUCGGGUCGUAAAGCGCUUUUCGGGGAGAUGAGCACGGACAGUAUCCCCGGAAGAAGGAUCGGCUAACUACGUGCCAGCAGCCGCGGUAAAACGUAGGAUCCGAGCGUUAUCCGAAUUCACUGGGCGUAAAGCGCAUGCAGGCGGCCGCACAAGUUGGAUGUGAAAUCUCCCGGCUCAACUGGGAGGGGACGUUCAAAACUGUGCGGCUCGAGGGCGGUAGAGGAAGGUAGAAUUCCCGGUGUAGUGGUGAAAUGCGUAGAUAUCGGGAGGAAUACCCGUGGCGAAGGCGACCUUCUGGACCGUUUCUGACGCUCAGAUGCGAAAGCUAGGGGAGCGAACGGGAUUAGAAACCCCGGUAGUCCUAGCCGUAAACGAUGUCGACUGGGCGUGGGUGGGGUAAAAGCCAUCCGUGCCGAAGCUAACGCGUGAAGUCGACCGCCUGGGGACUACGGCCGCAAGGUUAAAACUCAAAUGAAUUGACGG